GCGCAGCUUCCUCUGGCUGGUAGAGCACGAGACUCUUAAUCUCAGGGCUGCGAUUUCGAGUCUCACGUUGGGCA
Podarcis lilfordi (Lilford's wall lizard) is the source of this 74-nucleotide non-coding RNA. The record is from the annotation of a GenBank genome assembly. Lineage: Eukaryota; Metazoa; Chordata; Lepidosauria; Squamata; Lacertidae.